Molecule: ribosomal RNA, 439 nt
Filed under: uncultured bacterium
Lineage: Bacteria
Description: partial 16S ribosomal RNA
Rfam family: Bacterial small subunit ribosomal RNA
Source: RNAcentral
CUACGGGUGGCUGCAGUGGGGAAUAUUGCACAAUGGAGGAAACUCUGAUGCAGCAACGCCGCGUGGAGGAUGACACUUUUCGGAGCGUAAACUCCUUUUAUAUAGGAAGAAGAUGACGGUACUAUAUGAAUAAGCGCCGGCUAACUCCGUGCCAGCAGCCGCGGUAAUACGGAGGGCGCAAGCGUUACUCGGAAUCACUGGGCGUAAAGAGCGUGUAGGCGGAUUAAAAAGUCAGAAGUGAAAUCCUAUAGCUUAACUAUAGAACUGCUUCUGAAACUCUUAAUCUAGAAUGUGGGAGAGGUAGAUGGAAUUUCUGGUGUAGGGGUAAAAUCCGUAGAGAUCAGAAGGAAUACCGAUCGCGAAGGCGAUCUACUAGAACAUUAUUGACGCUGAGACGCGAAAGCGUGGGGAGCAAACAGGAUUAGAUACCCCUGUAGUC